UCCCGGCUCCGCGGGUUCCGUGGGUCGCCCGCGAAAUCUGAUCCGGGAUGCGGCGGCCCAAUCGGAAGGUGGACCGAAAUCCCGCGACAGCAAGAGGCCCGUAGCGACCCGCGGUGCUAAGGAACACAGUGCUUUCAAAAGAAUUGGCGUCCGCUGUUCGCCUCUCCUCCCGGGAGUCUUCUGCCUACUCCCAGAAGAGGAGGGAAGCACAG
This 212-nucleotide long non-coding RNA is filed under the name Homo sapiens (human). Its description in RNAcentral is "non-protein coding lnc-EFNB3-1:1". Lineage: Eukaryota; Metazoa; Chordata; Mammalia; Primates; Hominidae. The record is from RNAcentral.